UUUGGAGGUAGGCCCCAUGUAAAACGGUAAAAAAAAUCAAAAUUUUCAAACGCGCUUACUGACAUGGCCGUGUCAGUUGACACGGGCGACUGUGUCAAAGCUAUGCCCUCUCUCUUUUUUCUUUUCAAAACAGCUACAGCAGGGGCUUACACGGGCCAUGUCAGCUAACACGGGCGACCGUGUCAGACCCCUGGAAAAAAUUUCUUCGCCUCUCACUUCUUGACACGGGUCGUGUCAGCUGACACGGACACCCGUGUCAGGCCCCUGUUUUUC
RNAcentral lists this long non-coding RNA (273 nucleotides) under Lathyrus oleraceus (garden pea). Its description in RNAcentral is "Pisum sativum (pea) long non-coding RNA (PSAT_LNC023641)". Lineage: Eukaryota; Viridiplantae; Streptophyta; Magnoliopsida; Fabales; Fabaceae. The record is from RNAcentral.